This 1042-nucleotide long non-coding RNA is filed under the name Helianthus annuus (common sunflower). RNAcentral describes it as "hypothetical non coding rna". Lineage: Eukaryota; Viridiplantae; Streptophyta; Magnoliopsida; Asterales; Asteraceae. The record is from RNAcentral.
UUCAAUCGUUGCCCUUUAAUUCUUGAAUUGCCCCAAUCGAUUUUAUGAAUGAAACUGAAGAUUUAAUAGCAAAUUGAAGAUUUAAUGGGAAAAUAAACACACCAGUUUAAUCUGCCCAGACGUUUCCAUAGCCACAAUUAUUUAAGAUGGAACCCAUGAUUGAAUUCAGUGGUCAUUUGCGACCUCAGUUGCCUAUAAUCAGGUCCUCCACACACGGUUGCUUAGUUUCACAGAGUUGCAACAGAUUAUGGUUUAAUGACCACGGUUUUUCUUUAGGCGAUGUUUAAGAAAUUUAUUACAAUUCGGGAUGAUAAACAAACCGCUCAAGUUAAACUAUUUGGGGAUUACUUGCAGGGGUACACAUUUUUAAGAAGCAUGUGCAAGCGACUGUAAGCUGGUAGAAGAGGAAGUUCAUCAGACUUUUACAUGCUCUGUGCAGCACCCCCCGAGGCUAAUUGCUAUGAAGUAGCGAAUAUAGACGAUGGGUAUUUGGAAACACUAAAUGCUAUGGAUGUUGUGGGAAUAAACUAAGAUGAGCAGGAUGCGAUAUUCCGUGUUGUAGCUGCGAUUCUUCAUCUCCGUAACGGUGGCUUCAUCAAAGGAAAGGAGUUUGAUUCUUCCAAAGUGAAGACGAAAAAUCGCUCCGUCAUCUUCGUACAACAGCCGCGCUACUCAUGUGUAAUGCGAAAGCACUUGAACAAUCUUUAUGUGAGCGUGUUAUCUUAACUCCAGCAGACGGAAAUAUUACAAAACCACUGGAUCCAGCGGCGGCAGCCUUGAGUCGUGAUGCAUUGGCAAAAACAGUUUAUUCUAGACUCUGUGAUUGGUCUACCAGCAAUCUAUUUCAGCAGCCUGCAUCCAAGACUUGCCUCGAGAAAGGAUGCUUGUAGUCUUGUACAGAUGCUUGCUAGAUGAUUCGUGAUACAACUAUUCAGGCCCUUAUCAAGGCAGGAUGAUUUCAAAUUUUAGACUAUCGCUUAGCUUAUUGUUCCAAUCAAUUAUGUAGUUUCUUUGAAAUCAAACAUUUUAUGGUGUUAUCUGU